This 252-nucleotide ribosomal RNA is filed under the name uncultured bacterium. RNAcentral describes it as "partial 16S ribosomal RNA". It matches the Rfam family "Bacterial small subunit ribosomal RNA", at positions 524 to 776 of the family's 1533-position model. The record is from RNAcentral.
UACGUAGGGUGCGAGCGUUGUCCGGAUUUAUUGGGCGUAAAGAGCUCGUAGGCGGUUUGUCGCGUCGGCCGUGAAAUCUCCACGCUUAACGUGGAGCGUGCGGUCGAUACGGGCAGACUUGAGUUCGGUAGGGGAGACUGGAAUUCCUGGUGUAGCGGUGAAAUGCGCAGAUAUCAGGAGGAACACCGGUGGCGAAGGCGGGUCUCUGGGCCGAUACUGACGCUGAGGAGCGAAAGCGUGGGAGCGAACAGG